GACGAGGGAUCCUAGCGUUGUUCGGAAUUAUUGGGCGUAAAGCGGGUGUAGGCGGGCUUCUAAGUCGGGUGUGAAAUCCCCGGGCUCCAACCUGGGAAUUGCAUUCGAUACUGGAUAGCUAGAGUUCGGCAGAGGGAAGCGGAAUUUCCGGUGUAGCGGUGAAAUGCGUAGAUAUCGGGAAGAACACCCGUGGCGAAGGCGGCUCUCUCGGGAGCGGUACUGACGCUGAGACGCGAAAGCGUGGGGAGCAAACAGG
Molecule: ribosomal RNA, 256 nt
Filed under: uncultured bacterium
Lineage: Bacteria
Description: partial 16S ribosomal RNA
Rfam family: Bacterial small subunit ribosomal RNA
Source: RNAcentral